CCUACGGGAGGCAGCAGUGGGGAAUCUUGCGCAAUGCGGGAAACCGUGACGCAGCGACGCCGCGUGAGGGAAGAAGGCCUUCGGGUUGUAAACCUCUUUCAGGAGGGACGCGGUACCUCCAGAAGAAGCCCCGGCUAACUACGUGCCAGCAGCCGCGGUAAUACGUAGGGGGCAAGCGUUGUCCGGAUUUAUUGGGCGUAAAGAGCGUGUAGGCGGCUAGGUAGGUCCGUUGUGAAAACUCGAGGCUCAACCUCGAGACGUCGAUGGAAACCAUCUAGCUAGAGUCCGGAAGAGGAGAGUGGAAUUCCUGGUGUAGCGGUGAAAUGCGCAGAUAUCAGGAAGAACACCCGUGGCGAAGGCGGCUCUCUGGUACGGCUGACGCUGAGACGCGAAAGCGUGGGGAGCAAACAGGAUUAGAUACCCUUGUAGUC
This 431-nucleotide ribosomal RNA is filed under the name uncultured bacterium. Its description in RNAcentral is "partial 16S ribosomal RNA". It matches the Rfam family "Bacterial small subunit ribosomal RNA", at positions 338 to 795 of the family's 1533-position model. The record is from RNAcentral.